UUAGAUAAUAAUGGAUAAAGGGUAGGGGCAAAAAUAUUAAAAUAAUAAAUGGAAAGCGUCAAAUGCGCUUCACGCUUAUUAUAGCUAGCCAACACAAACAAAAAUUUUAGUGUUUGGAGAAGCAGCUUGCUUAGUGGCGGACGGGUGAGUAACGCGUGAACAAUCUGCCCUGUACAAAGGAAUAGCCUCGGGAAACCGGGAUUAAAACCGUAUGACACUUUAGUAUCGCAUGAUAAGAAAGUCAAAUCGAUUAGAGGUAUGGGAUGAGUUCGCGUCUGAUUAGCUGGUUGGCGGGGUAACGGCCCACCAAGGCGACGAUCAGUAGCCGGCCUGAGAGGGUGAACGGUCACACUGGAACUGAGACACGGUCCAGACUCCUACGGGAGGCAGCAGUGGGGAAUAUUGCACAAUGGAGGGAACUCUGAUGCAGCGACGCCGCGUGAGUGAAGAAGGUCUUCGGAUCGUAAAACUCUGUCCUUGGUGAAGAAAAGGACGGUAGCCAAGGAGGAAGCCCCGGCUAACUACGUG
RNAcentral lists this ribosomal RNA (528 nucleotides) under uncultured bacterium. RNAcentral's name for it is "bacterial SSU rRNA". It matches the Rfam family "Bacterial small subunit ribosomal RNA", at positions 1 to 507 of the family's 1533-position model. The record is from RNAcentral.